GAGUUUGAUCCUGGCUCAGGAUGAACGCUAGCUACAGGCUUAACACAUGCAAGUCGAGGGGCAUCAGGAAGAAAGCUUGCUUUCUUUGCUGGCGACCGGCGCACGGGUGAGUAACACGUAUCCAACCUGCCCUUUACUCGGGGAUAGCCUUUCGAAAGAAAGAUUAAUACCCGAUGGCAUAAUGAUUCCGCAUGGUUUCAUUAUUAAAGGAUUCCGGUAAAGGAUGGGGAUGCGUUCCAUUAGGUUGUUGGUGAGGUAACGGCCCACCAAGCCUUCGAUGGAUAGGGGUUCUGAGAGGAAGGUCCCCCACAUUGGAACUGAGACACGGUCCAAACUCCUACGGGAGGCAGCAGUGAGGAAUAUUGGUCAAUGGGCGCUAGCCUGAACCAGCCAAGUAGCGUGAAGGAUGAAGGCUCUAUGGGUCGUAAACUUCUUUUAUAUAAGAAUAAAGUGCAGUAUGUAUACUGUUUUGUAUGUAUUAUAUGAAUAAGGAUCGGCUAACUCCGUGCCAGCAGCCGCGGUAAUACGGAGGAUCCGAGCGUUAUCCGGAUUUAUUGGGUUUAAAGGGAGCGUAGGUGGACUGGUAAGUCAGUUGUGAAAGUUUGCGGCUCAACCGUAAAAUUGCAGUUGAUACUGUCAGUCUUGAGUACAGUAGAGGUGGGCGGAAUUCGUGGUGUAGCGGUGAAAUGCUUAGAUAUCACGAAGAACUCCGAUUGCGAAGGCAGCUCACUGGACUGCAACUGACACUGAUGCUCGAAAGUGUGGGUAUCAAACAGGAUUAGAUACCCUGGUAGUCCACACAGUAAACGAUGAAUACUCGCUGUUUGCGAUAUACAGUAAGCGGCCAAGCGAAAGCAUUAAGUAUUCCACCUGGGGAGUACGCCGGCAACGGUGAAACUCAAAGGAAUUGACGGGGGCCCGCACAAGCGGAGGAACAUGUGGUUUAAUUCGAUGAUACGCGAGGAACCUUACCCGGGCUUAAAUUGCAGUGGAAUGAUGUGGAAACAUGUCAGUGAGCAAUCACCGCUGUGAAGGUGCUGCAUGGUUGUCGUCAGCUCGUGCCGUGAGGUGUCGGCUUAAGUGCCAUAACGAGCGCAACCCUUAUCUUUAGUUACUAACAGGUUAUGCUGAGGACUCUGGAGAGACUGCCGUCGUAAGAUGUGAGGAAGGUGGGGAUGACGUCAAAUCAGCACGGCCCUUACGUCCGGGGCUACACACGUGUUACAAUGGGGGGGACAGAAGGCAGCUAGCGGGUGACCGUAUGCUAAUCCCAAAAGCCUCUCUCAGUUCGGAUCGAAGUCUGCAACCCGACUUCGUGAAGCUGGAUUCGCUAGUAAUCGCGCAUCAGCCACGGCGCGGUGAAUACGUUCCCGGGCCUUGUACACACCGCCCGUCAAGCCAUGGGAGCCGGGGGUACCUGAAGUACGUAACCGCAAGGAUCGUCCUAGGGUAAAACUGGUGACUGGGGCUAAGUCGUAACAAGGUAGCCGUACCGGAAGGUGCGGCUGGAACACC
This 1515-nucleotide ribosomal RNA is filed under the name Bacteroides fragilis str. Ds-233. RNAcentral describes it as "bacterial SSU rRNA". It matches the Rfam family "Bacterial small subunit ribosomal RNA". The record is from RNAcentral. Lineage: Bacteria; Pseudomonadati; Bacteroidota; Bacteroidia; Bacteroidales; Bacteroidaceae.